UACGUAGGUGGCAAGCGUUGUCCGGAAUUAUUGGGCGUAAAGCGCGCGCAGGCGGUCCUUUAAGUCUGAUGUGAAAGCCCACGGCUCAACCGUGGAGGGUCAUUGGAAACUGGGGGACUUGAGUACAGAAGAGAAGAGUGGAAUUCCACGUGUAGCGGUGAAAUGCGUAGAGAUGUGGAGGAACACCAGUGGCGAAGGCGACUCUUUGGUCUGUAACUGACGCUGAGGCGCGAAGGCUUGGGUAGCAAUAAGG
RNAcentral lists this ribosomal RNA (253 nucleotides) under uncultured bacterium. RNAcentral's name for it is "partial 16S ribosomal RNA". It matches the Rfam family "Bacterial small subunit ribosomal RNA", at positions 524 to 776 of the family's 1533-position model. The record is from RNAcentral.